GCCACACUCCAGCCUGAAUUGAUAGUUUAUGAAAGCUUGAACCAAGCAAGCUUGAUAAAGAUGCAGCACUUUGGUCAGGGCAACCUUGUUGCUUCAGAGCUUGCUCCCCUCUUUAGCCAGCAAGUGUAUCUAAGCUUGUAUUUCGUAGGAACAUACCGGUGCUGCUCUGCUCCUUACAAGUAGGUGUGUGGGAGAAAGGCUGGGUUGUUAUAACUCCUCAGUGGUUGCUGACUGCACUCUCGCCACCCUGGCCUUGCAGGAUCUUUCCUACCUCACCUCAGUUUGCAUCAUUAUUGCCUUAGGAAUUUGGCUUCAGUUUAAUUCUAGAUUUCCAUCUCCUUUUCUAACUCUCCAUUUGAAGGCAUCCAAAUAAGCUGGAAUUAUUAACUCUUACUGACUGCGAAACUUCUUUGCCGAUUAGGCCACCUGAGAAGAGCAAAAUAUAAUUUUGAGGAAAUUAUGGACACAAUAUAUUGACAUCUCCAUUCAAAGAAGAUGUGCAGACAAGUGCACCCUGAAAUUUACUGAAAUAAGUUCCCUUGGAAUUCCUACAGAUAUUUCACUCAAGAGGUACUGAUUAAAUCAGCUUGGAUUUUGUGAUGUAAAGACAAUGCAUCUUGAAAUGUUUUUGGCCUUGGUUGUCCAUUCUAACCCUGCUCUACUUCUGAGAUUCCCGCAUCAGCCUGAAGCAUGUACCUGUAUAGAGAAGGGGUGAUGAACCCUUUUCAGCCUGUGGGCCACAUUCCCUUCAGGGCAGCCUUCUGAGGACUAUGUACCAGUGGUGGGUGGGGCCAGAGGCAAACGGUGGUGAAGCAAAUAAUGUAAAUUUUAUCUGUAUAGUGUAUAGUGCUCCCUCUAUCCUCCAUCCAGACAAGGAGGCUUUAUCAGAGUUUAGAGGCACUUUCUGGUCAGGCCAAAAUACUUGAGGUGCAAAGAAGGGCCCAUGAUAUUGUGAACUGGGAAAAGUUCUGAGGGGCAGGUGGACCAGAUUUGGCUAUUGUGCCUGAGUAAAAAUCAUCUCAAGAACAUCUAAGGCAAUGUAAGUUGCUGGUUAUAUUGAUGGCUAUUACUUUCACGAAUUCUUGGAUUACUGACCCCCCCCCCCCAUUUUAACAGUGGUGCCAUCAGGGCAGGGUUUGGAGGCAGAGGCCCAGGGUCCCAUUCAGCAGAGUGAAGAGAAGGGCCCCUAAACACAGCAGGGCUGGGUUACCACAAUUUGAAGAAAUUGAAGUAAUUCCAUUAUUAGGGCUGUGCAUGGUCUCCCUAUAUUCGAUCUGGCACUUUGUGUCAGCCCUCACAAAACCCAGGCCAAUCUGGGACUGACCCAAACUGGAUGUGGGCCCCAAAUCAAUUUAAGAGAAUCCCUAAAAUUCAGUUGGGAUUUUAAACCCUGUUAAAUAUGCGGCAGAAAGGGAGAAGACGAUGCUGUGGUUUCUCCUUCUCCAUUUCCCAGCCACAUGUUUAAUCAGAGUUUUAAAUUCCUAAUUAAACAUACAGUUGGGAGGGGGUGGAGGAAGAUGGAGGGGGUGGAGGAAGAUGGAGAUUUAUUCCCUCCUGAACACACUACACAGAGCACGACUGAACCUUGGACUCAGACUUCACUCGUGCUGGGUGCUGCUCCAACAGUGUGUUCCUUGUGGAGAAUGCACUAGUGAAGCAAAUCCCUGCAGAGAGCAGGAUUGGAUCUUCUUUGCCAGUACAUUCACUGCAGGGAGAGGGACACAGGUGGCACUGUGGGUUAAACCACAGAGCCUAGGACUUGCUGAUCAGAAGGUUGGCGUUUCGAACCCCUGCGACGGGGUGAGCUCCCGUUGUUCGGUCCCAGCUCCUGCCCACCUAGCAGUUCGAAAGCACGUCAAAGUGCAAGUAGAUAAAUAGGUACCGCUCCGGCAGGAAGGUAAACAGCGUUUCUGUGCACUGCUCUGGUUCGCCAGAAGCGGCUUAGUCAUGCUGGCCACAUGACCCGGAAGCUGUACGCCGGCUCCCUCGGCCAAUAAAGCGAGAUGAGCACCGCAACCCCAGAGUCGGUCACGACUGGACCUAAUGGUCAGGGUCACUGCAGGGAACAUGCUGGCAAAACACAUCCUAUGGAAGCCAUCUGUCUCUCCUUCCUCCCCCGUACCAUCUGACCGGCCCACUGUUUGACCUCCCCAGAUUGCUCCAGGUGGAGUGAUCCAGGGCUGUCUCAACUUGAUCAAGCCCAAGCUUGAAUCUGUCUGAAUUGGCCUGAUUUAGUUGAUGAUCUGGUCUUUAACGACAUCCUAUUCACAGCCCUUCACAUUGUUUAAAGAACAUCUCAUGUAAGAAGAAGUGUAAGAAGACCAUUACAUUUAGACUAGUCUUUAGAACUACCUAACUACCCAAGUGUACAUAGGAGCAAAAAAAGAGGUAUUUGGAAAAAUGGAAAAAGAGGUGCUUUUAGGAGGCCAUUACUCAGUAGUAGAGCAUCUUCUUUGUGUGCUGAAGGUCUCAGAUUCAACCAGGUAGGGCUGAAAGAGACCCGUCAGAAAUCCUGGAGAGCCACUGCCAAUCGUUGUAGACAGAACUGAGUUAUAUGGAUGAAUGGGCUGUCUCAGCAUAAGGCAGCUUCCUAUGUUGUAGAAACCUUAUUUUAUUAAUAUCUUCUUGUUCUGUUUCUACAUGUGUUUCACUCUAGCUUUCUCAGCCUUCUUUCCUAUCUCUAAAUGAACAAGCUUUUUCAGUGUUAAAAAAAAGUUGCUGUUAAGUCUAACUCAACAUGUGAACUUUAUUUUGGGGGAAAAGGUGUGUUUCCAAAGCUCGUGUCAGUGAAAAACCAGUUUCUGUAAACAAUACUCUGUUUAUUUGGAAAAUAAGGAAAAUAAUGUUCCUACCACAAAUAUGUUCGUGCAAAAUGGUUAAGUACGUAAGUUGUGGCCUUAAAAAACACAACAUGAAUGGAUCAGUCUUUUAUCCUAGCCUGGAAUGAACUCUCUCAUAGCAGUUUGUAUUACAGAAAACUAUUUUUAGACCGUGUGCUUCAAACUGAUCCUUAACAAAUACUACACUUUAUAAGGGCCCUUUUAUUAUUUCUUCACUAUGGGAAAAGAACUAUGCUUUUUAAAAAUGCUUUCUUUUCUGAUGGGCAACAGCUGUAUGCAUUUUGAAAACUGUACAGCAUGUCCCUGUGGAAAUCACAAACUUUGCUGGGAGUACAUAUUUUAUGUCAAACAGAAUAAAGAGUCGAGAGGGUACACAUUCUACAUUGGAUCCCUCUCCAGCUCUCUUCCAGAGGUCACUGCUAUUAGUCAUAGGGGAAACAGGACUUGGAUGACUGAUUCAAAAAUGCAUAUCCAUUUGUGUGUAUUGGUGUACAAGACUGGAGUAGCAAUUCCAGUCCUACUGUUAGGCAGAGUGAGGUGGUUGCCUCAGACUCCUCUGAGCACCAUAAACUAGCCUGCCCUGCACUCCCCAAGCUAGCCUGCUGUCCUCAGGGGCAGUGUGGGGUGCAAUUCAGCUGCUAGUGUUGAAGCACAAUUCAAGUGCCUGGCUUUUCAGCUACUGCAUAUGAAAUUGGGAGAGGAGCACCAUCUUGUCCUUUGCCUCAGGCAGCAAAAUGUCUUGGACCAAUCCAAAGGAGUGUAUUCUAUACAGAGUGAGUAAGCUGACAAAAAGAGAAAUCGAUCUGUUUUAUCUCUUACAAAGUUUUUAUUCUGCAGGGAACAUCAGAUUGAGAAAUUGACUGGAAUUUCAGGGAUGGGGUGCUGAGGGUGGUGAUGCCUGAGAAGCCAUAAUUUUGCAGUGGGCAAGCAACAAAACCAGUCUCCACAAAGUUUGGAGUGAGGCGGUUGUAGUUAUAAGUACUUGUCAUCAAGGUGGAGUUCAAGCCUUACUUGACCAAAUAUUUUAUAGCCCUUCCAGAUUGGGGACUCCAAUGGACUGCUUGGAUGGAUAUUAUGUGCUCUAGCUCAAAAGGUUCCCAAUUGUAGUAGCCUUCGUAGUUGU
Molecule: long non-coding RNA, 3963 nt
Filed under: Podarcis lilfordi (Lilford's wall lizard)
Lineage: Eukaryota; Metazoa; Chordata; Lepidosauria; Squamata; Lacertidae
Source: RNAcentral